CAGGAUGCGCCUGGCGGUCAGGCAACGAACUUGGGGUUCGUCGGGUUUUCCCACAGUAGGUUCGACUCCUACAUCCCAACC
This 81-nucleotide transfer RNA is filed under the name Deinococcus roseus. RNAcentral's name for it is "tRNA-Pro". Lineage: Bacteria; Thermotogati; Deinococcota; Deinococci; Deinococcales; Deinococcaceae. The record is from RNAcentral.